This 889-nucleotide ribosomal RNA is filed under the name Escherichia coli. Its description in RNAcentral is "partial 16S ribosomal RNA". It matches the Rfam family "Bacterial small subunit ribosomal RNA", at positions 1 to 871 of the family's 1533-position model. The record is from RNAcentral. Lineage: Bacteria; Pseudomonadati; Pseudomonadota; Gammaproteobacteria; Enterobacterales; Enterobacteriaceae. RNAcentral also lists the same sequence under 1 other name.
UUUAUGGAGAGUUUGAUCCUGGCUCAGGAUGAACGCUGGCGGCGUGCCUAAUACAUGCAAGUCGAGCGAACGGACGAGAAGCUUGCUUCUCUGAUGUUAGCGGCGGACGGGUGAGUAACACGUGGAUAACCUACCUAUAAGACUGGGAUAACUUCGGGAAACCGGAGCUAAUACCGGAUAAUAUUUUGAACCGCAUGGUUCAAAAGUGAAAGACGGUCUUGCUGUCACUUAUAGAUGGAUCCGCGCUGCAUUAGCUAGUUGGUAAGGUAACGGCUUACCAAGGCAACGAUGCAUAGCCGACCUGAGAGGGUGAUCGGCCACACUGGAACUGAGACACGGUCCAGACUCCUACGGGAGGCAGCAGUAGGGAAUCUUCCGCAAUGGGCGAAAGCCUGACGGAGCAACGCCGCGUGAGUGAUGAAGGUCUUCGGAUCGUAAAACUCUGUUAUUAGGGAAGAACAUAUGUGUAAGUAACUGUGCACAUCUUGACGGUACCUAAUCAGAAAGCCACGGCUAACUACGUGCCAGCAGCCGCGGUAAUACGUAGGUGGCAAGCGUUAUCCGGAAUUAUUGGGCGUAAAGCGCGCGUAGGCGGUUUUUUAAGUCUGAUGUGAAAGCCCACGGCUCAACCGUGGAGGGUCAUUGGAAACUGGAAAACUUGAGUGCAGAAGAGGAAAGUGGAAUUCCAUGUGUAGCGGUGAAAUGCGCAGAGAUAUGGAGGAACACCAGUGGCGAAGGCGACUUUCUGGUCUGUAACUGACGCUGAUGUGCGAAAGCGUGGGGAUCAAACAGGAUUAGAUACCCUGGUAGUCCACGCCGUAAACGAUGAGUGCUAAGUGUUAGGGGGUUUCCGCCCCUUAGUGCUGCAGCUAACGCAUUAAGCACUCCG